CCCUUAGAUGUUCUGGGCCGCACGCGCGCUACACUGAUGCAUUCAACGAGCCUAUCCUUGACCGACAGGUCCGGGUAAUCUUUGAAUCUGCAUCGUGACGGGGAUAGAUUAUUGCAAUUAUUAAUCUUCAACGAGGAAUGCCUAGUAGGCGCAAGUCAUCAGCUUGCGUCGAUUACGUCCCUGCCCUUUGUACACACCGCCCGUCGCUCCUACCGAUUGGGUGUGCUGGUGAAAUGUUCGGAUCGGCCGUUUGUCGCGGUUUCCGCGUCAUGUGGCUGGGAAGUUCAGUAAACCCUCCCACCUAGAGGAAGGAGAAGUCGUAACA
Molecule: ribosomal RNA, 325 nt
Filed under: uncultured eukaryote
Lineage: Eukaryota
Description: partial 18S ribosomal RNA
Rfam family: Eukaryotic small subunit ribosomal RNA
Source: RNAcentral